Molecule: ribosomal RNA, 459 nt
Filed under: uncultured bacterium
Lineage: Bacteria
Description: partial 16S ribosomal RNA
Rfam family: Bacterial small subunit ribosomal RNA
Source: RNAcentral
CCUACGGGGGGCAGCAGUGAGGAAUAUUGGUCAAUGGGCGGGAGCCUGAACCAGCCAAGCCGCGUGAGGGAAGAAGGUACAGCGUAUUGUAAACCUCUUUUGUCAGGGAACAAAGGCGGGGACUAGUCCCCGGAUGAGGGUACCUGAAGAAAAAGCAUCGGCUAACUCCGUGCCAGCAGCCGCGGUAAUACGGAGGAUGCGAGCGUUAUCCGGAUUUAUUGGGUUUAAAGGGUGCGCAGGCGGCCUGUUAAGUCAGCGGUAAAAGCCCGGGGCUCAACCCCGGCGAGCCGUUGAAACUGGCUGGCUGGAGUUGGAGAGAAGUACGCGGAAUGCGCGGUGUAGCGGUGAAAUGCUUAGAUAUCGCGCAGAACCCCGAUUGCGAAGGCAGCGUACCGGCUCCACACUGACGCUGAGGCACGAAAGCGUGGGUAUCGAACAGGAUUAGAUACCCCUGUAGUC